This 647-nucleotide ribosomal RNA is filed under the name uncultured bacterium. RNAcentral describes it as "bacterial SSU rRNA". It matches the Rfam family "Bacterial small subunit ribosomal RNA", at positions 110 to 753 of the family's 1533-position model. The record is from RNAcentral.
GUAAUAUAUCGGAACGUACCCAGUAGCGGGGGAUAGCCCGGCGAAAGCCGGAUUAAUACCGCAUACGCCCUAAGGGGGAAAGGGGGGGAUCGCAAGACCUCUCACUAUUGGAGCGGCCGAUGGCUGAUUAGCUAGUUGGUGGGGUAAAGGCCUACCAAGGCAACGAUCAGUAGCUGGUCUGAGAGGACGACCAGCCACACUGGGACUGAGACACGGCCCAGACUCCUACGGGAGGCAGCAGUGGGGAAUUUUGGACAAUGGGCGAAAGCCUGAUCCAGCAAUGCCGCGUGUGCGAAGAAGGCCUUCGGGUUGUAAAGCACUUUUGUCAGGGAAGAAAUCGUUCGGGCCAAUACCCCGGGCAGUUGACGGUACCUGGAGAAUAAGCACCGGCUAACUACGUGCCAGCAGCCGCGGUAAUACGUAGGGUGCAAGCGUUAAUCGGAAUUACUGGGCGUAAAGCGUGCGCAGGUGGUUCGUUAAGACAGUUGUGAAAUCCCCGGGCUUAACCUGGGAACUGCAAUUGUGACUGGCGGACUAGAGUUUGGCAGAGGGGGGUGGAAUUCCUGGUGUAGCAGUGAGAUGCGUAGAUAUCAGGAGGAACACCGAUGGCGAAGGCAGCCCCCUGGGCCAUGACUGACACUCAUGCA